This 254-nucleotide ribosomal RNA is filed under the name uncultured bacterium. Its description in RNAcentral is "partial 16S ribosomal RNA". It matches the Rfam family "Bacterial small subunit ribosomal RNA", at positions 524 to 776 of the family's 1533-position model. The record is from RNAcentral.
UACGGGGGGAGCAAGCGUUGUUCGGAUUUACUGGGCGUAAAGGGCGCGUAGGCGGCCUGUGCAAGUCAGUUGUGAAAUCUCCGAGCUUAACUCGGAACGGUCAACUGAUACUGCUCGACUAGAGUGCGGAAGGGGCAACUGGAAUUCUCGGUGUAGCGGUGAAAUGCGUAGAUAUCGAGAGGAACACCUGCGGCGAAGGCGGGUUGCUGGGCCGACACUGACGCUGAUGCGCGAAAGCCAGGGGAGCGAACGGG